UACAGAGGGUGCAAGCGUUAAUCGGAAUUACUGGGCGUAAAGCGCACGUAGGUGGAUAUUUAAGUUGGAUGUGAAAGCCCCGGGCUCAACCUGGGAUGGUCAUUCAAAACUGGAUAUCUAGAGUACAGUAGAGGGAAGUGGAAUUUCAGGUGUAGCGGUGAAAUGCGUAGAUAUCUGAAGGAACACCAGUGGCGAAGGCGGCUUCCUGGCCUGAUACUGACACUGAGGUGCGAAAGCGUGGGUAGCGAACAGG
RNAcentral lists this ribosomal RNA (253 nucleotides) under uncultured bacterium. RNAcentral describes it as "partial 16S ribosomal RNA". It matches the Rfam family "Bacterial small subunit ribosomal RNA", at positions 524 to 776 of the family's 1533-position model. The record is from RNAcentral.